GGAGGCUGGCAGCGGACGUGCUCCUCGCCAACCCGGUCAGGUCCGGAAGGAAGCAGCCGUAACGAGUUUUUGCGCGGGUCGUUGUUCAGUCUCCACC
This 97-nucleotide signal recognition particle RNA is filed under the name Robiginitomaculum sp. Its description in RNAcentral is "signal recognition particle sRNA small type". It matches the Rfam family "Bacterial small signal recognition particle RNA". Rfam says of the family: The signal recognition particle (SRP) is a universally conserved ribonucleoprotein involved in the co-translational targeting of proteins to membranes. Archaeal SRP consists of a 7S RNA and homologues of the eukaryotic SRP19 and SRP54 proteins. In most bacteria, the SRP consists of a 4.5S RNA and the Ffh protein (a homologue of the eukaryotic SRP54 protein). Lineage: Bacteria; Pseudomonadati; Pseudomonadota; Alphaproteobacteria; Maricaulales; Robiginitomaculaceae. The record is from RNAcentral.